CAGCAGCCGCGGUAAUACGUAGGGUGCGAGCGUUAAUCGGAAUUACUGGGCGUAAAGCGUGCGCAGGCGGUUAUAUAAGACAGAUGUGGAAUCCCCGGGCUCAACCUGGGACCUGCAUUUGUGACUGUAUAGCUAGAGUACGGUAGAGGGGGAUGGAAUUCCGCGUGUAGCAGUGAAAUGCGUAGAUAUGCGGAGGAACACCGAUGGCGAAGGCAAUCCCCUGGACCUGUACUGACGCUCAUGCACGAAAGCGUGGGGAGCAAACAGGAUUAGAUACCCGGGUAGUCCCUGUCUCUUAUAC
Molecule: ribosomal RNA, 301 nt
Filed under: uncultured bacterium
Lineage: Bacteria
Description: partial 16S ribosomal RNA
Rfam family: Bacterial small subunit ribosomal RNA
Source: RNAcentral